Molecule: long non-coding RNA, 5563 nt
Filed under: Triticum aestivum (bread wheat)
Lineage: Eukaryota; Viridiplantae; Streptophyta; Magnoliopsida; Poales; Poaceae
Description: long non-coding RNA (TAES_LNC005201)
Source: RNAcentral
ACGACUAUGCUCGGCUAAAUCUAGGUAACACAAUUUUAAGAGACGGAUGCAAAAAAUAAAACCUAAACUAAACAAGGUUGACGACAAAGAAAAUGAAAAAAGAAGCAGAGGGGGAUAAAGAUUUGAACUCGUUUUGUUAUUGGUAUUUCAGAUUACUACUGACAGCAUAGACUAAAACAAGAGGGAAGUAACAUGACAAGGACACAUAUAUAACUAUCAUACAUAUAACAGAGGGAAGAAACAAUAAUAUGACAGGGACAGAAAUAUAUCAAAACACGAACAUAUAUAUUUAUAUCAUAGGUACAAAGCUAACAACCACAAACUGAACACUAGACACCAACAGGAAUAUAAAGCACAAGUACGGGGCUCACAUCACACUAGCCAAUUCACGCUGACAAAUAUUAGUACAACAAUAAUAGACACAAGGAUUCAGACACUAGAAACCAAAUAUUGUAUAGUUUUCCACAAGUACAUUGAAAUUAUAGCAGACCAUAAAACACACGAAGGCACCAAUAAUGUGUGCAGAACAGUACACCAUAUUCAUCAUAAUGAUUUUAGAAAUUCGUGAGAAGUAAAGAGAGAAAAGGGGAACAACAACAGUUGGGGUCCUAGAAGAAUACGGCAGCAAGAGGGGUUCAGAGCAGAGCUUCAGCGAGUGAGGAGCAGCAAGGGGGCACUGGCGAAGAGCAGCAGCAGGUUGGAGAUUAGAGUAUUAGCAGCAGCAGGGGCGUCAGGGAGAGAGAAGCAGCAGGUUGAGGCAACAAAAGCAAGGGGAUGCAAGGAGAAGGAGCAGCAGGAGCGUUGAGAGAAGAAAAAGAAGAAGAGCAAUAGCAGGGUUAGGAGUUCAGGGAAGAAGACAACAGCAAGAGGAGGAGUAGAAGGGCAUCAGGGAGAUGGGGGAAGAGGGCAACACAGGCGUUGGGCGCGUGAUGGAUCAGGCACCGCCGGCCCUCUGUCUGGUGAGUUGCGUGAGGUGGAUGUGGUGCGGAUGGAUGGAUGGGUGGUGAUGCUGGUUGUGGUGGAGUGGUGGAGCUGGUGACAUGUCGCCACGCCGGCCUGGCCGCGGCGGCGGCCGGAGGUGGAGAAGGAGGGAUGAGGGAGAGAGAUGUGUGCCAGGCUCGGUUUCGAAAUGGAGGCUGCUAGGGAUUUUGAUCCCCUCCCUGAUCUGCCAUUUUGCACUUUUGCCCUCCUUCUUCUCUUCUUCAGCCUCAAGUAGAUCCCUUUCUUCUUUAGUGUUGGCCCUUCGUUUCAUUAAUUCUUCAUACUCGAGUCCCUUCGCAAAAUGCAGCAACCACAACCUCUUAGACACUGUAAUAUAGAAGGAUUUGGGCCUUUUCGCCAUUUUCUGCAAAAGAUGGAGUAGUGUUGUAAAUGUGACAUAAUAUGCGUAUUUGAAUAUCUUUCGAGUAAAUAAUAUGAAAAUAUGAUUACAAUUUGAUGCAAAAAGGCUAAAAAGAUUAUAUGAGGAAAUUCUAUAGCAAGUUCCCCCACACUUAAAUCUUUCUUGUCCUCAAGCAAAGGCAUAUCACAAGAGCAAGAGUAUGAAUAGUGAACUGACUAGAGAAGGUCCUAGUAAAGUAGAUCUCCAAACAAUGCAUGCUUCAGACUUAGUUAGUGAAGAUUAAUGGUUAGGAUGCUACAAAGCAAUAGGAUACUAGUAGACUCGAUCAUUUUAAACUUUUACAAUGAUAAAGUGGAUCAACAAGUUUAAAUGCAGAUUGUGCCAAAAGGUUCCUAAAGAGAGCAUGAUCCCCAGAAAUACUUGUUACCAGGAACACAACAUUAUGGCUAAACUACUUAUUGAAUUUUGAAGGAAGCAAUGAUAAUAUUUUAUCAGUCUCAUCAAAGGAACAUACCACCGAUCCCGAGAACAUGGUAUACACAUGGUUCGACAAAUAUUGCAUUUUUAUUUAUUUAUUGCUGUCCAAGCUACCAAAUUUAACACGCCACCGAUUCAGGGAACAUGACAUGCUACUGCAGGUAGACUAGACUUAUAUUCAUUAUGACAUAUUGAACAAAGGAAUUACAAUGGCAUGAAACAUAAGGAAGGAAACAAGAAUCAUCACUCAUCCAUUUCUGGUUCACAUGCUACUGAUCCAGAGAAUAUAGCAUGCUAAUCCAUAGUGGUUAAGUGAUUGGUCUGGAUGGGAAGACACUUGGCACAAAAUCAGCAUCUAACACUUGAUGAUCUAGGUGUAUCAAAGUAAAUGCAGAAAAUGAUGGUAGUUUUCUAGUGUACUAGGGAUUUGAGCACUCAAAACUAAUAACUUUCACUAAUUUCAGCAAAGCAAGCAGUAUGUAGAUCACUAGUUUACAAGGCAUUCACAAUUCAGUUCACAUAUUCACAACAAGCACCAUACCAAAGGUGAAUUUCAGCUUGACAAUAAGUAAUAACUGGCUCAAGCAACCCAACUAGCAAUUGAUUUCAGCUUGUAUCAAUAGAUGAUAUAUUCAUAUUGGGGUCAUGAAAUAGCUCACCAGGCUUUAUGAAGUAGAACUCGCUCGAUGAUCUCACAUCUUCUUGCAUCGCGACUCCUCUCCUUUUGCUUCUCUAUCCUCAUGCUCUCUAUCCUCGUGCACGCUCCAGCUUUUCUCUUCCUUGUAUGUGCCCAUUGCUUCUCCUCUUCACCAUGCUCUAAAUCCACCGCGGUCCCAAGGAAUGUCACCUCGAACCUGGUCAGCAUGUAGUGAACGGUGCAGUAGCGAAAACCUGAAAGAGCACUCGACAAAAGAGAUACAAGUGAAAGGGGUAAUGCCCUCUAAAUCAUCAAUAGAGUACCCAAUUACAUAUGCAUAGCUAUAAAGAACAUGGCGAGUAUGAUAGGAAUCAGCAAGCUCAAUACUAACAUGAGGAUGAUAUUUAUCAUUAAGCAUAGGUUUGGCAUGAGGAAAAUAAGUGUGAUCAUCAUUAAUAUGAGCAAUGCCACCAACAGUAUAUGUAUCAUCAUAUCCAAGCAAACACUUCUUCAAAUCUACUUUAACAGAUAACAUCAUGCAAUGCAAGGUAGUAGGAAACAAUUCAUAUGGACGCAUGUCAUUGAGAGGAUUAGAUAAACCUGCUAUAUCACGCUCUUGGAUGACGAUGGGCAAAUGAAUUUCUAGUUCUUCAUCUUCAACUACAGGAGCUUCUUUUACUUCUUCAGGAGUGAUAGGCAAUGGAUCUUCGUCUUGAUCACUUGGGCAUUCAAGCUCUUGGUCAUCUUGUUCCUUGUCUUCUAGUUCAUCUUCUUCAAUCUGAGAUAUCUCUUCCUCAAGGCACUUACUAUCUUCCUUGGCUGGAUAUGAAGGUGUUGGAACCUCAGAUGUAUCAAGGGUAAUCCCAGAAACACUCAGCUCAAGCUAUGAAGAAAUAGUGCUGCCAGCGUUGAUGUUCUUCUCAAUCUUCCUUACUUCUUCAACUAGCUCUUUUCCACUCUUGAUCUUCUUCAUUUCCUCUAGUAUAACCUUCCUAAUAGGAUCAUCCUCGGCACUCCAAAUGAACUCGAGACUAAGCAAUGUGAGCUUGUCUGUAUCAUCAAAUUCAUCUUGUGUGGGCACUUGCACAUGAGAUUGCUCGACGGUUGCUGGAGUUGUUGGUUGACCAAAUGGAGUACCAUUUAACUCCAUUGGAAACAUCUCCUGGUGUUGAGGUAUAUGAGUAGGAGCUGAAUAAAUCUAUUGUGGAGCAUAGUUGUGGCUCUCCUCAUUGUACCUAAAUCCCUGCAUAUGAUUACUAGAAGCAAACAGUGAGAUCUCAGGGUUGUUGCUCCUAUAUGACAUAUUCUGGUUCUCAGGCCACCCAUAUGAGUAAUUGUUUUGGUAUGAGCUAGGCUGUGGGGCGAAGCUCAUGCCAUAACAAUCGGGAGAGUGAGAGUAACCACGCUGACAUUUAGUGGGUGAAUGUCCCUGAAAUCCACAAAUAUGGCUUGUAUGAGCAACAUAAGGAUGACCUCUAGGAUAAGGAUCAUAAGAGCUAGGCCUAUCCUCAAAAACUACUUCUCGCUGCCGAGCUAAAUCAUCUAAUCGAUGGGAAAUCUUACUUAUCAGUUCUUGAAUAGUUUACAUGCUGUUUAUAGUGUUCCUCGCAUCUCCGAGACAAUCUAAAUAAUAUGCCAUAACCGAGCAGAUAGCUCUAACCUGCAAAAGGAAAAGAAAACAAAAAGAUACUAGCUAGAACAAGGGUUAGUGGUUAGAGAUAUAUCACAAAUAUAUGGCACAAACUAGAAAAAGAAGAAAAACCUAGUCUAUAGCCUAACACAAUCGCUCGACGCUAGUCCCCGGAAACAGUGCCAAAAUGAUCAAUUGAAGGUACAUCGGGAUAUUUUGCCCGAACUGCGAGUGUCGUGUUCCCCACAGGGACAAGGCGACGACGACUAUGCUCGGCUAAAUCUAGGUAACACAAUUUUAAGAGACGGAUGCAGAAAAUAAAACCUAAACUAAACAAGGUUGACGACAAACAAAAUGAAAAAAGAAGCAGAGGGAUAUAAAGAUUUGAACUUGCUUUCUUAUUGGUAUUUCAGAUUACUACUGACAGCAUAGACUAAAACAAGAGGGAAGUAACAUGACAAGGACACAUAUAUAACUAUCAUACAUAUAACAGAGGGAAGAAACAAUAAUAUGACAGGGACAAAAAUAUAUCAAAACACGAACAUAUAUAUUUAUAUCACAGGUACAAAGCUAACACGGAUACCACAAACUGAACACUAGACACCAACAGGAAUAUAAAGCACAAGUAUAGGGCUCACAUCACACUAGCCAAUUCACGCUGACAAAUAUUAGUACAACAAUAAUAGACACAAGGAUUCAGACACUAGAAACCAAAUAUUGUAUAGUUUUACACAAGUACAUUGAAAUUGUAGCAGACCAUAAAACACAUGAAGGCACCAAUAAUGUGUGCAGAACAGUACACCAUAUUCAUCAUACUGAUUUUAGAAAUUCGUGAGAAGUAAAGAGAGAAAAGGGGAACAACAACAGUUGGGGUCCUAGAAGAAUACGGCAGCAAGAGGGGUUCAGAGCAGCGCUUCAGCGAGUGAGGAGCAGCAAGGGGCGCCGGCGAAGAGCAGCAGCAGGUUGGAGAUUAGAGUAGUAGCAGCAGCAGGGGCGUCAGGGAGAGAGAAGCAGCAGGUUGAGGCAACAGCAGCAAGGGGAUGCAAGGAGAAGGAGCAGCAGGAGCGUUGAGAGAAGAAGAAGGAGAAGAGCAAUAGCAGGGUUAGGAGUUCAGGGAAGAAGACAACAGCAAGAGGAGGAGUAGAAGGGCAGCAGGGACAUGGGGGAAGAGGGCAGCACGGGCGUUGGGCGCGCGAUGGAUGGAUGGGUGGUGAUGCUGGUUGUGGUGGAGUGGUGGAGCUGGUGGCGCACCGCCACGCCGGCCUGGCUGCGGUGAUGGCCGGAGGUGGAGAAGGAGGGAUGAGGGAGAGAGAUGUGUGCCAGGCUCACUUUGGAAAUGGAGGCUGCUAGGGAUUUUGAUCCCCUCCCUGAUCUGCCAUUUUGCACUUUUUCCCUCCUUCUUCUCUUCUUCAGCCUCAAGUAGAUCCCUUUCUUCUUUAGUUUUGGCCCUCCAUUUCUUUAAUUCUUCAUACUCGAG